ACAGUCAUCGCUGCAAACUCGUGCUCCGAGCGCUGCGCUCCCCUGUGGAGCGGAGGAGGGGAGGCCUGGGGCCGCGGCAGUGUGCGCCCCGCUCUGACCGCAGAGCCCCCUUCCCGAGGAAGGCAGCUGGCCCGGUCCCGGCUGGCGAUCACCCGGGGCCCCUGUCUGCUUGGUGCGCAGGUGAGGGUCUGCCCUUCCGCUGCGCCCCGGACAGCCUGGAGGUGAGCACACGCUGGGCCCUGGACCGCGAGCAGCGGGAGAAGUACGAGCUGGUGGCCGUGUGCACUGUGCACGCCGGCGCGCGCGAGGAGGUGGUGAUGGUGCCCUUCCCGGUGACCGUGUACGACGAGGACGACUCGGCGCCCACCUUCCCCGCGGGCGUCGACACCGCCAGCGCCGUGGUGGAGUUCAAGCGGAAGGAGGACACCGUGGUGGCCACGCUGCGUGUCUUCGAUGCAGACGUGGUACCUGCAUCAGGGGAGCUGGUGAGGCGGUACACAAGCACGCUGCUCCCCGGGGACACCUGGGCCCAGCAGA
This 537-nucleotide small RNA is filed under the name Pongo abelii (Sumatran orangutan). Its description in RNAcentral is "retained intron". The record is from RNAcentral. Lineage: Eukaryota; Metazoa; Chordata; Mammalia; Primates; Hominidae.